UGGUCAAUGGGUGCAAGCCUGAACCAGCCAUCCCGCGUGAAGGACGACUGCCCUAUGGGCUGUAAACUUCUUUUGUAUAGGGAUAAACCUACCCUCGUGAGGGUAGCUGAAGGUACUAUACGAAUAAGCACCGGCUAACUCCGUGCCAGCAGCCGCGGUAAUACGGAGGGUGCAAGCGUUAUCCGGAUUUAUUGGGUUUAAAGGGUCCGUAGGCGGACUUAUAAGUCAGUGGUGAAAGCCUGUCGCUUAACGAUAGAACUGCCAUUGAUACUGUAAGUCUUGAGGAUAUUUGGGGUAGCUGAAAUAAGGAGUGUAGCGGUAAGAUGCAUAGAUAUUACUUAGAACACCAAUUGCGAAAGCAGGUUACCAAGAUAUAACUGACGCUGAGGGACGAAAGCGUGGGGAGCGAAC
Molecule: ribosomal RNA, 411 nt
Filed under: uncultured bacterium
Lineage: Bacteria
Description: bacterial SSU rRNA
Rfam family: Bacterial small subunit ribosomal RNA
Source: RNAcentral